This 443-nucleotide ribosomal RNA is filed under the name uncultured bacterium. RNAcentral's name for it is "partial 16S ribosomal RNA". It matches the Rfam family "Bacterial small subunit ribosomal RNA", at positions 338 to 795 of the family's 1533-position model. The record is from RNAcentral.
CCUACGGGAGGCAGCAGUGGGGGAUAUUGGACAAUGGGGGGAACCCUGAUCCAGCGACGCCGCGUGAGUGAAGAAGUAUUUCGGUAUGUAAAGCUCUGUCAGCAGGGAAGAAAGAAAUGACGGUACCUGACCAAGAAGCCCCGGCUAACUACGUGCCAGCAGCCGCGGUAAUACGUAGGGGGCAAGCGUUAUCCGGAAUUACUGGGUGUAAAGGGAGCGUAGACGGUUAAGUAAGUCUGGAGUGAAAGGCCGGGGCCCAACCCCGGGACUGCUCUGGAAACUAUUGAACUUGAGUGCAGGGGAGGUAAGCGGAAUUCCUAGUGUAGCGGUGAAAUGCGUAGAUAUUAGGAGGAACACCAGUGGCGAAGGCGGCUUACUGGACUGUAACGGACGUUGAGGCUCGAAAGCGUGGGGAGCAAACAGGAUUAGAUACCCCGGUAGUC